RNAcentral lists this ribosomal RNA (349 nucleotides) under Ochrobactrum sp. MBR2.39. Its description in RNAcentral is "bacterial SSU rRNA". It matches the Rfam family "Bacterial small subunit ribosomal RNA", at positions 94 to 478 of the family's 1533-position model. The record is from RNAcentral. Lineage: Bacteria; Pseudomonadati; Pseudomonadota; Alphaproteobacteria; Hyphomicrobiales; Brucellaceae.
AGCGGCAGACGGGUGAGUAACGCGUGGGAAUCUACCUUUUGCUACGGAAUAACUCAGGGAAACUUGUGCUAAUACCGUAUGUGCCCUUCGGGGGAAAGAUUUAUCGGCAAAGGAUGAGCCCGCGUUGGAUUAGCUAGUUGGUGGGGUAAAGGCCCACCAAGGCGACGAUCCAUAGCUGGUCUGAGAGGAUGAUCAGCCACACUGGGACUGAGACACGGCCCAGACUCCUACGGGAGGCAGCAGUGGGGAAUAUUGGACAAUGGGCGCAAGCCUGAUCCAGCCAUGCCGCGUGAGUGAUGAAGGCCCUAGGGUUGUAAAGCUCUUUCACCGGUGAAGAUAAUGACGGUAA